Molecule: long non-coding RNA, 444 nt
Filed under: Zea mays
Lineage: Eukaryota; Viridiplantae; Streptophyta; Magnoliopsida; Poales; Poaceae
Description: long non-coding RNA (ZMAY_LNC003899)
Source: RNAcentral
AGUGGUCGAUAAUGACUGCAAAGAGAACUGCAGGGUACCGUUACUGAGUCUGAUUGGUUCUUAUUCUUUCUACUCAUUUCUUCUCCCUUAUGUUCUCUUUUGACUGCAAAGAGAACUGCAGGGUACUGUGACUGUGAGUCUGAUAUUGGUUCUUAUUCUUUCUACUCAUUUCUUCUCCCUUAUGUUCUCUUUUCUUCUUUUUUUUAUGCAGAAAUAGAGGAGGUCUCUAUUGUUAAGACGCAGGCGGUUCCAAUGGAAGACUCUAUUUGGAACAGCUUUUUUCUGAAUGGGGGCGUUAGGUUUGCAGCAUCAACCAUCGUUAGGAGUGAUCCGAACCUUCGUACAGACCAUUGUAACUGUUUGGUUUAAAUCAUGAUGAAAUGGCCUCGUCUCGUCUGUCGUUGUUUCAUUCUUUUGCAGCAAUAAUUGCAUGGCAACAUGCAC